UACGGAGGGGGGUUAGCGUUGUUCGGAAUUACUGGGUGUAAAGGGAGCGUAGACGGCAGGGCAAGUCCGAUGUGAAAACCCGGGGCUCAACCGCGGGAUUGCAUUGGAAACUGCUCGGCUCGAGUACUGGAGGGGUAAGCGGAAUUCCUAGUGUAGCGGUGAAAUGCGUAGAUAUUAGGAGGAACACCGGCGGCGAAGGCGGCUUACUGGACAGUAACUGACGUUGAGGCUCGAAAGCGUGGGGAGCAAACAGG
Molecule: ribosomal RNA, 254 nt
Filed under: uncultured Eubacteriales bacterium
Lineage: Bacteria; Bacillati; Bacillota; Clostridia; Eubacteriales
Description: uncultured Clostridiales bacterium partial 16S ribosomal RNA
Rfam family: Bacterial small subunit ribosomal RNA
Source: RNAcentral